AUACGUAGGUGGCGAAGCGUUGUCCGGAAUUAUUGGGCGUAAAGGGCGUGUAGGUGGAUUCUUAAGUCGUGUGUCUAAGUGCGGGGCUCAACCCCGUAUAGGCGCAGGAAACUGGAGAUCUUGAGUGCAGGAGAGGAAAGUGGAAUUCCCAGUGUAGCGGUGAAAUGCGUAGAUAUUGGGAGGAACACCAGUGGCGAAGGCGACUUUCUGGACUGUGUCUGACACUGAGGCGCGAAAGCCAGGGGAGC
Molecule: ribosomal RNA, 248 nt
Filed under: uncultured bacterium
Lineage: Bacteria
Description: partial 16S ribosomal RNA
Rfam family: Bacterial small subunit ribosomal RNA
Source: RNAcentral